This 536-nucleotide small RNA is filed under the name Pongo abelii (Sumatran orangutan). Its description in RNAcentral is "processed transcript". The record is from RNAcentral. Lineage: Eukaryota; Metazoa; Chordata; Mammalia; Primates; Hominidae.
CCCGGCUGGGAGAAGCGCAUGAGCCGCAGCUCAGAGUAAACACUCAGGAAGCGUUACCCAUUGCUGCCAUUCCCAGAGAUGCAAAAGGCCGAGUGUACUACUUCAACCACAUCACUAACGCCAGCCAGUGGGAGCGGCCCAGCGGCAACAGCAGCAGUGGUGGCAAAAACGGGCAGGGGGAGCCCGCCAGGGUCCGCUGUUCGCACCUGCUGGUGAAGCACAGCCAGUCAAGGCGGCCCUCGUCCUGGCGGCAGGAGAAGAUCACCCGGACCAAGGAGGAGGCCCUGGAACUGAUCAACGGCUACAUCCAGAAGAUCAAGUCGGGAGAGGAGGACUUUGAGUCUCUGGCCUCACAGUUCAGCGACUGCAGCUCAGCCAAGGCCAGGGGAGACCUGGGUGCCUUCAGCAGAGGUCAGAUGCAGAAGCCAUUUGAAGAUGCCUCGUUUGCGCUGCGGACGGGGGAGAUGAGCGGGCCCGUGUUCACGGAUUCCGGCAUCCACAUCAUCCUCCGCACUGAGUGAGGGUGGGGAGCCCAG